RNAcentral lists this ribosomal RNA (255 nucleotides) under uncultured bacterium. RNAcentral's name for it is "partial 16S ribosomal RNA". It matches the Rfam family "Bacterial small subunit ribosomal RNA", at positions 524 to 776 of the family's 1533-position model. The record is from RNAcentral.
UACGUAGGGGGCAAGCGUUGUCCGGAAUUAUUGGGCGUAAAGAGCGCGUAGGCGGUCCGGUAAGUCGGUUGUGAAAGUCGGGGGCUCAACCCUCGGAUGCCGAUCGAUACUGUCGGGCUAGAGUCCGGAAGAGGCGAGUGGAAUUCCUGGUGUAGCGGUGAAAUGCGCAGAGUAUCAGGAAGAACACCCGUGGCGAAGGCGGCUCUCUGGGACGGUCACUGACGCUGAGACGCGAAAGCGUGGGGAGCGAACAGG